This 367-nucleotide long non-coding RNA is filed under the name Homo sapiens (human). RNAcentral describes it as "non-protein coding lnc-FAM92B-9:2". Lineage: Eukaryota; Metazoa; Chordata; Mammalia; Primates; Hominidae. The record is from RNAcentral.
AGACCGUGCGAGGAGCGAUUCCGGAAGGUCGCUCGUGGCCACUGGACUCUUCUGCAGACCAGGAGAUCGGGAUCUGGAAUGGGGCUUGGAGUUGAGCUCAUGCAGCAAGCUAGGGGCAGGGUGAGUUUAGGAGAAGAAUCAGCCAGGCUCCUGGCCGGCUGGGAGGGGCUCCGGCAGUCCCAGCAGCGUGGGCGAGGAGAAGGGAGUGGAGCAGCCACUCUGGGCGACCCAGUGACCUUGAACAUUUGAGCCCCGUGAAAUCGGGGCAGCUGGAUGAGGAGUGCAGAGGCAGCUGGGGCUGCGCACAGAGCACGGGGAGGGACUGCCCCCGCUGGGUCCUCAGAGAGAGGCCGCUUUCUGCUUUAAA